This 497-nucleotide ribosomal RNA is filed under the name uncultured bacterium. RNAcentral describes it as "partial 16S ribosomal RNA". It matches the Rfam family "Bacterial small subunit ribosomal RNA", at positions 28 to 507 of the family's 1533-position model. The record is from RNAcentral.
GAUGAACGCUGGCGGCGUGCCUAAUACAUGCAAGUCGAGCGAACAGACGAGGAGCUUGCUCCUCUGACGUUAGCGGCGGACGGGUGAGUAACACGUGGAUAACCUACCUAUAAGACUGGGAUAACUUCGGGAAAACGGAGCUAAUACCGGAUAACAUGUUGAACCGCAUGGUUCAACAGUGAAAGACGGUCUUGCUGUCACUUAUAGAUGGAUCCGCGCCGCAUUAGCUAGUUGGUAAGGUAACGGCUUACCAAGGCAACGAUGCGUAGCCGACCUGAGAGGGUGAUCGGCCACACUGGAACUGAGACACGGUCCAGACUCCUACGGGAGGCAGCAGUAGGGAAUCUUCCGCAAUGGGCGAAAGCCUGACGGAGCAACGCCGCGUGAGUGAAGAAGGUCUUCGGAUCGUAAAACUCUGUUAUUAGGGAAGAACAAAUGUGUAAGUAACUAUGCACGUCUUGACGGUACCUAAUCAGAAAGCCACGGCUAACUACGUG